AUGAACGCUGGCGGCGUGCCUAAUACAUGCAAGUCGAGCGAACAGACGAGGAGCUUGCUCCUUCGACGUUAGCGGCGGACGGGUGAGUAACACGUAGGUAACCUACCUAUAAGACUGGGAUAACUUCGGGAAACCGGAGCUAAUACCGGAUAAUAUUUCGAACCGCAUGGUUCGAUAGUGAAAGAUGGCUUUGCUAUCACUUAUAGAUGGACCUGCGCCGUAUUAGCUAGUUGGUAAGGUAACGGCUUACCAAGGCAACGAUACGUAGCCGACCUGAGAGGGUGAUCGGCCACACUGGAACUGAUACACGGUCCAGACUCCUACGGGAGGCAGCAGUAGGGAAUCUUCCGCAAUGGGCGAAAGCCUGACGGAGCAACGCCGCGUGAGUGAUGAAGGUCUUCGGAUCGUAAAACUCUGUUAUUAGGGAAGAACAAACGUGUAAGUAACUGCGCACGUCUUGACGGUACCUAAUCAGAAAGCCACGGCUAACUACGUG
RNAcentral lists this ribosomal RNA (496 nucleotides) under uncultured bacterium. RNAcentral's name for it is "partial 16S ribosomal RNA". It matches the Rfam family "Bacterial small subunit ribosomal RNA", at positions 29 to 507 of the family's 1533-position model. The record is from RNAcentral.